RNAcentral lists this ribosomal RNA (433 nucleotides) under uncultured bacterium. RNAcentral describes it as "partial 16S ribosomal RNA". It matches the Rfam family "Bacterial small subunit ribosomal RNA", at positions 29 to 507 of the family's 1533-position model. The record is from RNAcentral.
AACGAACGCUGGCGGCAUGCCUAACACAUGCAAGUCGAACGAGACCUUCGGGUCUAGUGGCGCACGGGUGCGUAACGCGUGGGAACCUGCCCUUAGGUUCGGAAUAACUCCCCGAAAGGGGUGCUAAUACCGGAUAAUGUCUUCGGACCAAAGAUUUAUCGCCUUUGGAUGGGCCCGCGUUGGAUUAGCUAGUUGGUAGGGUAAAAGCCUACCAAGGCGACGAUCCAUAGCUGGUCUGAGAGGAUGAUUAGCCACACUGGGACUGAGACACGGCCCAGACUCCUACGGGAGGCAGCAGUGGGGAAUAUUGGAAAAUGGGCGAAAGCCUGAUCCAGCAAGGCCGCGUGAGUGAUGAAGGCCUUAGGGUUGUAAAGCUCUUUUACCCGGGAUGAUAAUGACAGUACCGGGAGAAUAAGCACCGGCUAACUCCGUG